RNAcentral lists this unclassified non-coding RNA (3426 nucleotides) under Hevea brasiliensis (rubber tree). Lineage: Eukaryota; Viridiplantae; Streptophyta; Magnoliopsida; Malpighiales; Euphorbiaceae. The record is from RNAcentral.
UGGGUUUUGGUGAUCUUAGUCACUCAUCGUCUUUUUCUUACUUCUUGGUUUGGACUUUGGAGAGAUGAAUGAAUCUACGGGGAAAACGACAUCGUGUCUGUCGAUAACGGAGAAAAGGCCUCACCGGCCUGGUGGUUGUGUGGGCAUUUUCUUUCAGCUCUUUGAUUGGAACCGUAGAUUUGCUAAGAAAAAGCUCUUCUCCAAGACAUUGCUUCCUCCAGCUCGUGCAAAGCAAUCGUCAAAAAAUUUUGGAGGGGAUGAGAAGAUGCCCAAAACCAAAUCUCAUUUGAUUGCCGAUGAGAACAGCAAGGGGUUCCCGAAUGUAAAGAAAAAUGGGAACCGUAGUGAUAGUGCACUGCCAAAGCACGAAAUGAGAGCUGCCGGUUUGGUUGCUAGGCUUAUGGGUCUUGAAUCUUUACCAGCAGUGCAUCGAGAUAAGCACAAAAAAGUUUCAAAUUCUCCUCCUUGUGAAGUUAAAGAAGAGAAAUUUGAUAACUGUAAUAUUGUGUCUGAGAUUGAACUUCUAAACUCGGAGAAGGGAAGCACUAAGGUUGAAUCUAGGCCUCCAAAGCUUCAAAAGACAGGGCAGUUUGAGAGAACGGCAGUGACUAGGUUUGGAGCUGAGGCUUUGCAAAUUAGGAAUGUAUUGUCGAGAGCAAGAAAGCAUCAUCACCCCAAGCUUGCUUCACCAGUGAAGAGUCCUAGGAUUUCCUCUUCCAGGAAUGUGUCUAGGGCAUCCAGAUUAAUUGAUGCUGCUACUCGGAUUUUGGAACCUGGGUUGCAUGCUACCAGUAGAGCAAAAUGUGCUCUUACUUAUUCAAGUUCUACGAAUUAUGUUCCCAAGAACGAAGUUUUGAUGGAUGCAAUGGGAUUGGGAGUCGUUUCACCAGAUAUACUGAAACAACAUAGAAAUGAUGUCAACUAUAAUAUGGGUGUGGACAAGUCUUUGAUGGGGCAGACUUCUUGCAAAAAUUGUGGAAAUUUGCUUGAUGUGGUGGAUUCUAGACCGAGAGUGGAGGAGCAGCCAUUUGUUUGUCAAUCCUCAGCUGCAAAUGUCCCCAAUAACUCUUUGCAGGGGUUGGAGAGGAUUAAGCCAAGGCCAACCAAUUCUUCCCCUGAACAAGAAAGGGAUGUCGCUUAUCAUAGAAAUCAGGUUCAAUCCGCUGAAAGACUAGAUAGCACAAGGGCUUGUAGUGAACUCAUCUCAGAUAGGAAACCUGUGUCUUCAGAGGGCCAAAUGUCACGACAAUUGAAAAGCCAACAGUGCACUCCUCAAAAGGAUGAGCCUUCUUCUAUUGCUUUCCGGCAAAGGACUGAGAUCCGAAAUGAGAUGUCAGUAGCCAAGGGUAGAAUUCCACCAAGAGAUAAAUUAAACAAUCUGCAAAGCAGGAGAGCUUGUUCAGCUGCCAAUGCUAUUACCGGAGCCAAAGAUUUUGUUGCUUUGAACAGAAGUUUAAGCAGUCGCACCAGGCGAAGAGUAUCCAACAAGGCAGAUAAUUAUAUGGUAGAUAAAGAGAGAAAAUUUUGUAGCAGGCGAGAUGAUUCCUUGUCGCAGUUAAGGACCCCAGUGCGAAAGAGGAGGACUGUAAGCGUCAAUGCACAACUUGAUAGUACUGGACUUGUUGAUUCAACUUCUAUGAGACAGAAAAACGUUAAGUGUGAUUUUGUGAGUGGAAAAGAACUGGAGCAUAAUGCUUCCACUGCAGACCGUGAAAGCAUCAAAACCAGAUCGGCCAUUCAGGGGGAAGGUCAUAGAACUAGUGGCAAUAAUAAGGAUGAUAUCGUAUCUUUCACAUUUAGUUCCCCAUUGAGGCAUAAAAAUUUCGUUUCCUCAGGGCUGAAAGAUAUGAGGGAUCACAUUGAUAAAAAUGCUUCUCAACCAAGAAAGCUACCAUCUGAUGAAAGUGAUGGCCAAACAUCUUUGCAAAGACAAAUGCCAUUGAGAGGAGAUACUUUAGGGGCACUUUUGGAGCAAAAACUAAAGGAAUUGAUUUCUCAAGAAGAGGAAGAAUUGACAAAUGGAGGUGCCAUUCAUAAGAGAUCAACUGCUAUGAUUUUGCAAGAACUAAUAUCAGCUUUAACUUCACAACAGCCUUUUUCUCCAGAUGGUCAUAUGGUCAAUGCAGAAACAACUUUCCAGACGGAAGGAAGGGUAGGAGGAACUUCAGUUGGGUUUUCACAUGAUGGUGACCACCACCUGAGUCCUGGAUCUGUUCUUGAAGCUCCAUUCUCAAACGACAGUUGCUUUUCUAGCAGUCUGGAUGAUAGCUCAGGUAAGGAAGUUGAACUUUAUGGGAAUGCAAACAAAUAAACUUACAAACUGUCGUGAUUAAAUGCAGUGAAACUCUUUAUGAACAAUUUUUUGCACUAGAAGUUUUGUUUCUUCACUUACAAAUGGCAUUCUUUUUCAUAUCAUGUUGGCAAUCUUCAUAUAUUUCUUCCAUAUUGGCUUAUGGUGCCAGGGCGUAGGCUGCUCUCUGACUCCAUGGAUUACUCAUGUGAUAUGCUACAACCAAUAGAAACUGACACUGAUCUUCUGGAUUCUGCAACCUCUAGAAAUGGAUGUACAAGUACCAAAAUAGUGACUGAUCUUCUCAACCGCAUUUCUAGAAUAUUACUGAGCAUCGAUCUUGCUGAUGGAUUAACAGGAAGCAGGCUCACCUAUGCAAAGGAGGUGAUCUGGAAUUCUGAGCUGUUGUUCGGAAGUGCAGCUCAACGUAAUUCAGAUAGAAUGAAAAGUUUCCUGAGAGGUCCUAUAACCAUUCUAUUUGGUGAACUUGAAACUCAUGCUAGUGCCUCGUGGACAAAUUUCAAUGCCCUUGGUUUUGAGGAGAGCAAGGAGGGUAGCAAAGAUAGUCAAGUUAAAAGGUUUCUUUUUGAUUGUGUGAUAGAAUGCUUUGAUUCAAAAUAUAGCCGGUACUGUAACUCAGGAUUCGAAGCAUGGAGAAGAGUGCCCUUGUGCAUGAAUACAGAAAUGCUGAUUGAAGAGGUUGGGAAAGAGAUCAGAAGGUGGACAAAUUUGGCUGGGAUGAUUCCAGACGAGAUAAUAGAAUGGGAGAUGAGUCAUUCCUUGGGAAAAUGGACGGAUUUUGAAAUUGAAUCUUUUGAAACUGGAGCUCAGAUUGAUUGGGAUAUACUUCAAGUUUUGGUUGAUGAACUUGUGACGGACUUUUGCGGUUGCAGGCUGGGUUACUUGUGAAAUGGCCAAGCGUUUGUAAGUUUCUUUUUGUUAGUAAUGGAAACUGUCACAAGCUUAACCUGUGUCUAACCUGGGAGUAGCAUGGUUGUCCAACGUGAUGGAUGAUUUUUAAAAUGGCUAUUGACUUUGUAAAUGCUUGCCUGUAUCUGCAUUCUUGGAUAGUUACCUGUAACUUGGUUUGACAUGGAGAAACUACUUCAAAUGGUCUUUUGAUUGAAAAAAAAAAU